ACGGAAGGCAGCAGUGGGGAAUAUUGCACAAUGGGCGAAAGCCUGAUGCAGCGACGCCGCGUGAGCGAAGAAGUAUUUCGGUAUGUAAAGCUCUAUCAGCAGGGAAGAUAAUGACGGUACCUGACUAAGAAGCACCGGCUAAAUACGUGCCAGCAGCCGCGGUAAUACGUAUGGUGCAAGCGUUAUCCGGAUUUACUGGGUGUAAAGGGAGCGUAGGCGGUUUUACAAGUCUGAUGUGAAAGCCCGGGGCUCAACUCCGGUAUUGCAUUGGAAACUGUAGAACUAGAGUGUCGGAGGGGUAAGUGGAAUUCCUAGUGUAGCGGUGAAAUGCGUAGAUAUUAGGAAGAACACCAGUGGCGAAGGCGGUUAGCUGGACAAUAACUGACGCUGAGGCGCGAAAGCGUGGGUAGCAAACAGGAUUAGAUACCCUGGUA
This 434-nucleotide ribosomal RNA is filed under the name uncultured Pseudobutyrivibrio sp. Its description in RNAcentral is "bacterial SSU rRNA". It matches the Rfam family "Bacterial small subunit ribosomal RNA", at positions 341 to 792 of the family's 1533-position model. Lineage: Bacteria; Bacillati; Bacillota; Clostridia; Lachnospirales; Lachnospiraceae. The record is from RNAcentral.